GAGAAUGGAACACAAUCACUCUAUCUGCAGACGAUAAUUUAAAUCUUAAGAUAUGGGAAUUGGCAUUUUUAGCUGGAAAUUUUGAAGCUGAAAACCAGGAAUUUAAUGAUCAAGGAAAGAAACUUUAUUUCAACUGAUUUGCCCUUUCAGUACAUUAGUUAAGUAUACCUUUGUUAUUCCAGUCAGAGGUGGACACUGGUUUACCUGCAAUUUUAAUCAAUAUUUUUGCAGAUUGCUUUACCUUACAGGUGC
Molecule: unclassified non-coding RNA, 252 nt
Filed under: Hevea brasiliensis (rubber tree)
Lineage: Eukaryota; Viridiplantae; Streptophyta; Magnoliopsida; Malpighiales; Euphorbiaceae
Source: RNAcentral